CCUCUAGAUGUUCUGGGCCGCACGCGCGCUACACUGAACAGUUCAACAAGUCUUAACCUUGGCCGAUAGGUCUGGGUAAUCUUUGAACGCUGUUCGUGAUUGGGAUAGACCUUUGCAAUUAUGGGUCUUCAACGAGGAAUUCCUAGUAAACGCAAGUCAUCAGCUUGCAUUGAUUACGUCCCUGCCCUUUGUACACACCGCCCGUCGCACCUACCGAUUGAAUGGUCCGGUGAAAUCUCGGGACGGCGGCUUGGUCGCUUGCGUCCGACUGCUGAAACUUGAUUAAACCAUAUCAUUUAGAGGAAGGUGAAGUCGUANCA
Molecule: ribosomal RNA, 320 nt
Filed under: uncultured eukaryote
Lineage: Eukaryota
Description: partial 18S ribosomal RNA
Rfam family: Eukaryotic small subunit ribosomal RNA
Source: RNAcentral